GCCCAGAUGGCGGAAUUGGUAGACGCACUAGGUUCAGGUCCUAGCGGUAGCAAUACUGUGCAAGUUCGAAUCUUGUUCUGGGCA
This 84-nucleotide transfer RNA is filed under the name Spirochaetes bacterium ADurb.Bin315. RNAcentral describes it as "tRNA-Ser". It matches the Rfam family "tRNA". Rfam says of the family: Transfer RNA (tRNA) molecules are approximately 80 nucleotides in length. The record is from RNAcentral. RNAcentral also lists the same sequence under 3 other names. Lineage: Bacteria; Pseudomonadati; Spirochaetota.